This 518-nucleotide ribosomal RNA is filed under the name Simulium grossifilum. Its description in RNAcentral is "partial 16S ribosomal RNA". It matches the Rfam family "Bacterial large subunit ribosomal RNA", at positions 1825 to 2601 of the family's 2925-position model. The record is from RNAcentral. Lineage: Eukaryota; Metazoa; Arthropoda; Insecta; Diptera; Simuliidae.
GUCUUUUUGGUUAUUUAAUAUAAAGUCUGACCUGCCCACUGAAUUUAUUUUGAAGGGCCGCAGUAUUUUGACUGUGCAAAGGUAGCAUAAUCAUUAGUCUUUUAAUUGAAGGCUGGCAUGAAUGGUUGGAUGAGGUAUAAGCUGUGUCAUAAAAAUUAAUUUUUGAAUUUACCUUUUUAGUCAAAAGGCUAAAAUAAAAUUAAAAGACGAGAAGACCCUAUAGAGCUUUAUAUAAUUUAUAUUUAAAUUAUUAAGAUUUUUUAAAUUUAAUUAUAUUAUUAUAUUUUGUUGGGGUGACAAUAAAAUUUAUAAAACUUUUAUUUUUAUUUUAUCAUUAAUUUAUGAAUAUAUGAUCCAAUUUUAUUGAUUAUAAAUUUAAGUUACCUUAGGGAUAACAGCGUAAUUUUUUUUGAGAGUUCUUAUCGACAAAAAAGAUUGCGACCUCGAUGUUGGAUUAAGAGUAAUUUUGGGUGUAGAAGUUCAAAGUUUAAGUCUGUUCGACUUUUAAAUUCUUACAU